GCAAAACGCGAAGAACCUUACCCACCUUUGACAUGUACGGAAUCCUUUAGAGAUAGAGGAGUGCUCGAAAGAGAGCCGUAACACAGGUGCUGCAUGGCUGUCGUCAGCUCGUGUCGUGAGAUGUUGGGUUAAGUCCCGCAACGAGCGCAACCCUUGCCAUUAGUUGCUACGAAAGGGCACUCUAAUGGGACUGCCGGUGACAAACCGGAGGAAGGUGGGGAUGACGUCAAGUCCUCAUGGCCCUUAUAGGUGGGGCUACACACGUCAUACAAUGGCUGGUACGAAGGGUUGCCAACCCGCGAGGGGGAGCUAAUCCCAUAAAGCCAGUCGUAGUCCGGAUCGCAGUCUGCAACUCGACUGCGUGAAGUCGGAAUCGCUAGUAAUCGUGGAUCAGAAUGUCACGGUGAAUACGUUCCCGGGUCUUGUACACACCG
Molecule: ribosomal RNA, 434 nt
Filed under: uncultured bacterium
Lineage: Bacteria
Description: bacterial SSU rRNA
Rfam family: Bacterial small subunit ribosomal RNA
Source: RNAcentral